This 519-nucleotide ribosomal RNA is filed under the name uncultured eukaryote. Its description in RNAcentral is "SSU rRNA". It matches the Rfam family "Eukaryotic small subunit ribosomal RNA", at positions 1161 to 1698 of the family's 1831-position model. The record is from RNAcentral.
AGGGCACCACCAGGAGUGGAGCCUGCGGCUUAAUUUGACUCAACACGGGAAAACUCACCCGGCCCGGACACUGGAAGGAUUGACAGAUUGAGAGCUCUUUCUUGAUUCAGUGGGUGGUGGUGCAUGGCCGUUCUUAGUUGGUGGAGUGAUUUGUCUGGUUAAUUCCGAUAACGAACGAGACUCUAGCCUAUUAAAUAGAUCGUUGGCUUACAAACGCCGGCGAGACUUCUUAGAGGGACAGGCGGCGAUUCAGCCGCACGAAACAGAGCAAUAACAGGUCUGUGAUGCCCUUAGAUGUCCGGGGCCGCACGCGCGCUACACUGAAGUGAUCAGCGUGCAUUUUGAAACCUACCCUGUCAAGAGUGGGGAACCCAAUGAGCCCUCUUCGUGAUUGGGAUAGGGGAUUGUAAUUAUUCCCCUUGAACGAGGAAUUCCCAGUAAGCGCGAAUCAUAAGUUUGCGCUGAUUACGUCCCUGCCCUUUGUACACACCGCCCGUCGCUACUACCGAUUGAAUGUUU